RNAcentral lists this ribosomal RNA (465 nucleotides) under Vreelandella stevensii. RNAcentral's name for it is "partial 16S ribosomal RNA". It matches the Rfam family "Bacterial small subunit ribosomal RNA", at positions 338 to 795 of the family's 1533-position model. Lineage: Bacteria; Pseudomonadati; Pseudomonadota; Gammaproteobacteria; Oceanospirillales; Halomonadaceae. The record is from RNAcentral.
CCUACGGGUGGCAGCAGUGGGGAAUAUUGGACAAUGGGGGGAACCCUGAUCCAGCCAUGCCGCGUGUGUGAAGAAGGCCCUCGGUUUGUAAAGCACUUUCAGUGAGGAAGAACGCCUGGUGGUUAAUACCCAUCAGGAAAGACAUCACUCACAGAAGAAGCACCGGCUAACUCCGUGCCAGCAGCCGCGGUAAUACGGAGGGUGCGAGCGUUAAUCGGAAUUACUGGGCGUAAAGCGCGCGUAGGUGGCUUGAUAAGCCGGUUGUGAAAGCCCCGGGCUCAACCUGGGAACGGCAUCCGGAACUGUCAAGCUAGAGUGCAGGAGAGGAAGGUAGAAUUCCCGGUGUAGCGGUGAAGUGCGUAGAGAUCGGGAGGAAUACCAGUGGCGAAGGCGGCCUUCUGGACUGACACUGACACUGAGGUGCGAAAGCGUGGGUAGCAAACAGGAUUAGAUACCCUGGUAGUC